Molecule: long non-coding RNA, 3323 nt
Organism: Phyllostomus discolor (pale spear-nosed bat)
Lineage: Eukaryota; Metazoa; Chordata; Mammalia; Chiroptera; Phyllostomidae
Exons: 2
Source: RefSeq, a predicted model, not a curated record
CUUGGGAGGGGCAAAAUCCCCAAUAUGUGUUAAUGAUAACUGAAAUUUUAAGAAAUUAUAUAACUUUCAAAAUAAUCCAGUUUACAGAAUAAUUUCAGCCCACAUCUCUACUCAGUUGCCUGCUGAUUGUGCCAUUCUUUAGAACCAAGGAUCUUCAACUGUGGAGUAAGUCAGCAUCACCUGACAAUGUUUGUUAAAGCCCAGAAUGCUGGUCCUACUCACGGAGUUUCCCAAACAAUGUGGAUGCUACUGGUUCAGGGGCCAUUCUUUGCAAAGCACUGCUAUGGAGUAAAACAAACUAAAUGAAAACUUACUGUCAAUGUGUUUAAAUUCCAAGGUUGAAGAACAAUGUGUGUAUGUGGGAAAUUUUUUUUAUAUGGCUUUACCUUUUUUAAAACCUUUUCUCUCCUAAUAUGGUUUUGGCAUCCAAAUUACCUCCACAUGUCAGUGGAAACAUAAUUAACCGUGCCCCCCCCCCCAUCUAAUUGGAAUGGUUGAUUUCUUAAGAGACAUAAACAUUUGUUUAUAAUUUGUGGUUUAUUUAUCUUCAUGUAUAAUCAAAUCAUCUUUACACUGGAAUAAUCUGACAUGAGAAGAGGAAAAGUCUGUCAUUUAAAAGUAGAAAUUAAAGACAUUGUCAGGAUACUAAAAAAUCUUUCUUGUUGUUUUAAUAUAAAUUCAUCUUAGAGAAAUACUGAUGAUCUAGUUGAUGUAGCCAUUUACUUAGCUAUAAGGGAUUAUUUAAUAUGGCAGGAGCAUGAGAAGUUUUUUCCACUUAGGGCCUUUUCUAGAAGAAAUAAAUACGUUUGGAUUUUACUGUUUAUGUUACAAACGCAGUGGGCACAGGGAAAGAAGUGAGCUUCCAUAGUGUUUUAGGCAGCAUUUAACAGAAAGAGACUGUAUACACUGGCACUGUACAGUUAGAUUAAAUUCUGCAGAAGUGAGAUACAAUGCAAGGUCAUAGCCUACAGUUUAACCAAGUUCUGCCCUGAAAUCAGAAGAUGGUCUUGACAAAGAUAGUAGGUGAACAGGCAGAAAGCAUUUUCAUAAAGCCACAAAACUGACCUCACUAUGUGGAAUGUAACAAUUCUGUGUAGGAGCAGGGUUCAGGAGGAGAGGAUGCAUAAACUGUACUGGCUUCUAAUAUGGUUAAUAUGUUAAACAUGGAUAAAUUUGCUUAUGGAACUGUCCCCAGUUUGUUGUUGUAGUAAAUGGCAUAAAAGCCAAGCAAGUAACCUGUGACUCACAUGGCAACAUGAAUAGAAUAUCUAUUUUUCAUUUGACUACCACCCCAACUCAGGAAUGCAUUAUAAAUAAGCAAUCCUCCUAAAGCAGUUGGUUUAACUACAGCUGGAUUUUCAUUAAGACUGGUUUUGACUGCUGAAUACACAAUACAGUAUACAGAUGAUGUAUUAUGGAAUUGUACACUUGGAACCUCUAUAAUUUUAUAACCAGUGUCACUGCAGUAAAUUCAAAUUAAUUUUAUAAAAAGUAUGCUAACAGAUGGGCAAAAAGGACUGUUUAAGAUAUAGAUUCAAGAUGGCAACAAUGGUAGAACACUGGAACUCACCUCCUUCUACAAGCAACUAAAUAUACACAUACAUAGAGAGCAGUUACUCCUGAGAGACGAGUGCUGAAUGAACAGCUUCUGACCAACAAACUAGAAAAAGAGACCAAAUGGAAAAAACUGGGAAACAGGAAGCUCUCCGGCAGCUAUGGAAAUGUCUGGGCCAGGGGCCUAGUGAGCACCAUUGCUUAAAUUUCAUACCACUUCCCACCCCACAGCUCCAUUUGGUGGCCAGGAGCUAUAUUCAAGUGCUCUGGCCCAACUGCAAGGUACCACACCGUAUUCCCUGACACGUCACUUGAGCUCUUUCAGCUCCAGACAAAGUUGCUUCACCUGGCCUCCCCACCUAGAGCUGCUCUAGCACUAUAGGCGAGGGCCCUGGACACCGUAGGCUCUUGUUUGCUCCAGCUGGCCUGCCAAAACCACCCAGCAGACACACCCUACAGAGAGGUAUUUCUAUACAAGGCCACUGCUUUCAUGACUGGGAGAGAUGGCUAUUUUGUCUUUAUAUAACAAAAUAGAAAAUCAAACUAAACGAAAAAAUCAGAAUAAUACCUCUCAGAUGAAGGAAUAAGAAAAAUCUCCAGAAGAAAAUUCUAAGGACAUGGAGGCAAGUAAUUUUCCAGUAGCCAAUUCAAAGAACCAAUCAUAAGGAUGCUCACCAACUUGAGAGUGAAAUGAGGAAUUUACAGAGCACUUCAACAAAAAACUUAGAAAGCAUAACAAAGAACCAGGUAGAACUGAAGAACACAAUAAUUAAAAUGAAAAUACAUAAAUAAUAGGUUAGCUUAUACAGAGAAUGAAUCAGUGACCUGGAAAACAGACUAGUGGAAAUUGAUCAGGAACAGUAAAAAGAAAAAAGAUUUUAAAAAACAAAAGAUAGUUUAAAGAACCUCUGGGAUAACAUCAAGCACAUAGACAUUUACAUUUAUAGAGGUCCCAGAAGGAAAGGAAAGAACAGAAACUUUAUUUAAAGAAAUAACAGCUGAAAACUUUCCUAACCUGCAAAAGGAAAUACACAUCCAGGUUCAGGAGCGCAGAGAAUUCCAAAUAAGAUAAAACCAAAGAGACCCACACAAAGACAUAUAGUAAUUAUAUUGGCAAAGUAUAAAGUGACAGUCUUAAAAAAGGAAACAACUUAUACAAAGGAAACCCCAAAAGGCUGAUUUCUCAGCCUCAACUUUCCAGACCAGGAGGAGUGGCAAGACAUAUUUAAAGUACUGAAAGAAAGGAACCUAUGAACCUACAACCUAUAAUAAUUUUACCCAGCAAGGUAAUUCAGAACUGAAGAUGAGAAGAGUUUCCCGACAAACAGAAAAUACAGGAAUUCAUCACCAUAAACCAGUCUACAAGAAAUGUUAUAGGGUCUUCUUUAAGUAAAAAGGAAAGACACUAACCAGAAAUAAGAAAAUACGAGAAAAGAAAAAUAUCACAGGUAAAGCCAAAUAGUUAAUAAAUGUAGCAAAUCAGACAUUUAAAAGCUACUGCCUUUUGGUCAAAAAAUAAAAGUGCCAAACUCAACUCAAACUACAAUAAGUAGUUCAAAGAUACAUAACACAAAAACAUCUAAAAUAUGACAUCAAAAACUUAAAGCAUGGAGAGGGGUAUACACAUAUAGUCCUUUUAGAGUAUAUUCAGAUUUAAAUAUCUAUCAGCUUAAAAUAAACUGCUAUACAUAUAGAAUGAUAUACAUAAACCUAAUGGCAACCACAAACCAAAAACCUACAAAAGACACAAAGAAUAAAGAGAACAGAAC